Long non-coding RNA from Ornithodoros turicata, 629 nucleotides. RefSeq lists it as uncharacterized. The transcript has 2 exons. The record is from RefSeq and is a predicted model, not a curated record. Lineage: Eukaryota; Metazoa; Arthropoda; Arachnida; Ixodida; Argasidae.
CUACAUUUUAAUUCGACCUUAUUCAAAAUUGAACUCCUUCUUUCAUUUUUCGUCAGAUUAUUUCAAAACGGGGGGAAGAAUUCGUGCAUAACAACGAGUUUCAUUGGAGUCCAUGUUGAUUAUGCAAAAUUAAGGAGUUCCUAUAGAGGCAGAAUUAUUUCAAAUUGGGGGGUUAAAUUACAUCCUUCUUUCAUUUUUUCGUCUGGUUGUCGACGUCAUAUGCGAUAUCGCAACGACAUCGAGUAUAAGACAUGGCGCGGGGUCCAAAGUAGGUACAGAUGGCACCGGCGCAAUGCGAGGCGCUCUGCUUCUACGACGAUUGAUCGAGAGUCCAUGAGGGGGCAUCCAUCCAUCCACGACGUGAGACGUUUCGUGGAGCAAAGUGAAACGAUAGCCCUGGUUGCCGCAUAUCAUGGAAGACAGGAACAGCCGUCGAGCAACCUCCCCAAUAAUCCAACUACCUGUCUGUAUAGCAGUAUGACCCCUCCUUGUGUAGCACUGGACAAGAGAGCCCCACGAACGUCCAUUGUGAAUCGAGUGCUCGUGGAACAAAGUGCAGGCAUCUAUCGACCAACUCAAGAGACGUCUUUGUACGUAUUCAAUAAAGAUGUUUCCGUGAAUAAACCACA